This 69-nucleotide transfer RNA is filed under the name Marmota marmota marmota (Alpine marmot). It matches the Rfam family "tRNA". Rfam says of the family: Transfer RNA (tRNA) molecules are approximately 80 nucleotides in length. Their secondary structure includes four short double-helical elements and three loops (D, anti-codon, and T loops). The record is from Rfam by way of RNAcentral. Lineage: Eukaryota; Metazoa; Chordata; Mammalia; Rodentia; Sciuridae. RNAcentral also lists the same sequence under 1 other name.
GGAGUUGUGGCUCAGUGAUAGAGCACUUGCCUGGCAUGUAUGAGGCACUGGGUUCCAUUCUCAGCACCA